GGCGGGGUAGCACAUGGAGUGCACUGUGUUCAACUUACGGGAGCCUUUGUACCACAUUCGGAGGUGCCCGUUCGACUCGGGCCCCCGCCA
Molecule: non-coding RNA, 90 nt
Organism: Mycena vulgaris
Lineage: Eukaryota; Fungi; Basidiomycota; Agaricomycetes; Agaricales; Mycenaceae
Source: the annotation of a GenBank genome assembly